GUAGGGUGCGAGCGUUAUCCGGAAUCAUUGGGCGUAAAGAGCUCGUAGGCGGUUCAGCAAGUCGGCUGUGAAAUUCCGAGGCUCAACCUCGGAACUGCAGUCGAUACUGCUGUGACUCGAGUCCGGUAGAGGAGAAUGGAAUUCAGGGUGUAGCGGUGAAAUGCGCAGAUAUCCUGAGGAACACCAGCAGCGAAGGCGGUUCUCUGGGCCGGUACUGACGCUGAGGAGCGAAAGCGUGGGUAGCAAACAGGAUUAGAUACCCUGGUAGUCCCACGCCCGUAAACGUUGGACACUAGGUGUGGCGUUCCGACCAACGGGUGCCGUGCCGAAGCUAACGCAUUAAGUGUCCCCGCCUGGGAGUACGGCCGCAAGGCUA
This 376-nucleotide ribosomal RNA is filed under the name uncultured organism. Its description in RNAcentral is "partial 16S ribosomal RNA". It matches the Rfam family "Bacterial small subunit ribosomal RNA", at positions 527 to 896 of the family's 1533-position model. The record is from RNAcentral.